GCCUGGGUGGCUCAGUUGGUUGAGCAUCUGACUCUUGCUCAGGUCAUGAUCCCUGGGUCGUGGGUUCAAGCCCCACCUCAGGCU
Panthera uncia (snow leopard) is the source of this 84-nucleotide non-coding RNA. The record is from the annotation of a RefSeq genome assembly. Lineage: Eukaryota; Metazoa; Chordata; Mammalia; Carnivora; Felidae.